AGGACGAACGCUUGCGGCGUGCCUAAGAAAUGCAAGUCGAACGGAUGCGGUAAUGUGUCAGUGGCGAACGGUCGCGUAACACGUAAGAAACCUGCCUCGAAGUGGGGGACAACAUGGCGAAAGUUGUGCUAAUACCGCAUGUGGUCAUUUGGUGGCAUCACCUUGUGUCUAAAGCUUAAUGCGCUUCGAGAUGGUCUUGCGGCCUAUCAGAUAGUUGGUGGGGUAACGGCCUACCAAGUCUUUGACGGGUAGCUGGUCUGAGAGGACGAUCAGCCGGAUUGGGACUGAGAUACGGCCCAGACUCCUACGGGGGGCAGCAGUGGGGAAUAUUGGACAAUGGGCGCAAGCCUGAUCCAGCCAUGCCGCGUGGAUGAUGAAGGCCUUAGGGUUGUAAAGUCCUUUUAACGGGGAAGAUAAUGACGGUACCCGUAGAAUAAGCCCCGGCUAACUUCGUGCCAGCAGCCGC
Molecule: ribosomal RNA, 466 nt
Filed under: uncultured bacterium
Lineage: Bacteria
Description: partial small subunit ribosomal RNA
Rfam family: Bacterial small subunit ribosomal RNA
Source: RNAcentral